RNAcentral lists this ribosomal RNA (279 nucleotides) under uncultured Fusobacterium sp. RNAcentral describes it as "partial 16S ribosomal RNA". It matches the Rfam family "Bacterial small subunit ribosomal RNA", at positions 66 to 342 of the family's 1533-position model. Lineage: Bacteria; Fusobacteriati; Fusobacteriota; Fusobacteriia; Fusobacteriales; Fusobacteriaceae. The record is from RNAcentral.
ACUUGAAUUUGGGUUUUUAACUUAGGUUUGGGUGGCGGACGGGUGAGUAACGCGUAAAGAACUUGCCUCACAGCUAGGGACAACAUUUGGAAACGAAUGCUAAUACCUAAUAUUAUGAUAAUAGGGCAUCCUAUAAUUAUGAAAGCUAUAAGCGCUGUGAGAGAGCUUUGCGUCCCAUUAGCUAGUUGGAGAGGUAACGGCUCACCAAGGCGAUGAUGGGUAGCCGGCCUGAGAGGGUGAUCGGCCACAAGGGGACUGAGACACGGCCCUUACUCCUAC